This is a long non-coding RNA of Chiroxiphia lanceolata (lance-tailed manakin), 5744 nucleotides long. RefSeq lists it as uncharacterized. NCBI's taxonomy places the organism in Eukaryota, Metazoa, Chordata, Aves, Passeriformes, Pipridae. The transcript is spliced from 3 exons. The record is from RefSeq and is a predicted model, not a curated record.
CAGCCAUUCCUCAUAAGACAUGUUUUCUACGCCCUUCUAGGCCCUUCUCUGGACAUGCUUUAGCACCUCCAUGUCCUUUUUAAAGUGAGGGGCCCAAAACUCAAGGUGCAACCUCACCAAUGCCAAGUACAGGGGUACAAUACAAUGUCUGUCUUUCUCCCCUCUUAUCCUUUCUGCUUCCUCACCAUGACAUUUUGCCUUUUUACUUGCACGAUUACCACUACGAAGGGCUGAGUUACUAUUCUCUGUCUCAUGGCAAGUUGGGAGUUUUUGUGAUUCCUUAUGCUAAUAUAGAAAUUCAAAGCAGAAAAGUCCUGUUAGGUCAUCUACUCUGCUCUCCUGCUGAGAGAGGAUUUACAACAAGUGCAUAAUUGCUUUUUCAUUUUAAAUGCCUCAGGUGAUGGGGCUUCCAUCACUUUUGAAGUCUGCUUCACACUCCAGAACGUCCCAUGGUCAGGAAGAUAUUUAGCUUAUAUUUUCAUUUGUUCAGUUUCAGCCAAUUACUCCUGGUUAUAAGCAUGUUUUGUACUCCCCUAAACAGUUUUACUCCUCUCUGACUGUUUGUGUCUUACACACAGGUAUGGCUAUUUUCCUAGCCAUUGCUAUUCUUUACCUCCUUUCAUUAACCAGUCCCUGCAGCCACUUUACUAUUGGUCUUCUUUGAUCCUAUUCAAUUGCUCAUCAGUUCCUCAGCCCAUGGAUGCCCACAUUUGGGGCCUUAUCCUCUGUGAAUGCAGCCAAAACCCCAUCAUAGUUUAAUUUGUCUCAAAGUUACCUCAAAGGUUGCACAAAAUUUGUCACCUGACAUUGCUCUGAGUCCGAUCUUUUCCUGUUAUUCCCCAGUGUUCCCUCUUGCAGUGCAACUGUAAUCUAUUUUUCAUUUUUCUGCCUGGAGUUUCAGCAUCUGUUCCUUCCCUCUGGGGUCACUGAUAGCUGCUGUUCCUCACAAUUUGUUUAAUGGCCCUUACAAAUACAGGCCUUGAUCCCUCUCCACAGACCUCUCAACCAGUAUGGAUGGUUGCGAGUAUCUGUCCAAGACCACAACCUGUUCUAGUGCAAUUGUCUUCCAGCUCUUUCUGUUCUUUGUGGUUUUCCACUACUCCACUAAAUGUGAAUGCAAAGGAUGAUAACUAGAAAAGGUAGGGAGAGAAAUGGUGAAUGUGUAGAGAAGGCCACAAGUAUGAGUGUGGCACCUCUUUAGCCAGAAGUCAAUCCCAUUGAAGCUGCUGCAAGAAAACUGGGAAGGAAAUGUGGCUGGGCAAAACACACGCCACACCAUCCUGUGGUCUGUCCUUACCCACAGAAGCUAUGCCUUAACCAUGCUAGCUACAUGCUAGACAGGGACUGAAGAACAUCUUUGAACACUUCGAACAAGGAGGACCAAACUCUUUGUAGUGUGUUAGCUUUCCUGCUUGGUUCUGCCCUUAUUUCUCUGGCCUGAUUUCUUCCAGUCUCUCUCAUUAAGUCCAUCUCUUGCGACCUGACAUUAUGGUCCUGGCUGCUGCUCUGUGCAGAAAAAAAACGCUGCCAAAUCUCCAGGUGUGCAGCAUGCCCAUGGUUGCAGGACUGUGGUUCUGAAAAAGUAAGAGGAAAACUUCUCCAGCUCCCCUUUAGAUCUGCACAACGCGGAAAGGAAGUCCAUUAUCUCUCGAACAGGAUCCCAGUUAGUUUCCUUCACUCUCACCGAGAAACUACUGCUUAGCUUAUCUCCAUGGAGGAACCAUUAGUUAAAGGCAGGAUUUACAAUCCAACAGAGCCACCUGUCAUCAACACCCUAUCCAGAAUUCUCCUAACUUUUUGUUCGGGGAACUUGUUACAACUUAGUGUUGCCUGUAUCAGCAACACUAAUACAGGCAAAAGGCACCAUGGCCUUGGGGCUCUCCCAGGAAGGGAGGGUGAGUGGCAUGCUGGGGGACAGCAGCAGGAUGAGAAAACCAAUAGACUGGAGUAUGUUCCUUCUCCUCAUAGCGACCUGAAAAAUCUGGCUUUAGAUGCUUGUAUUUUCUGGUCUAAAGUUUGUCUCUGAAAACAGAGUGAACCCUGAAGUAAAAGAGGCAAACCACCCUUUCAUUGGGACUUGUAAUUUUCUGUCCACAGCAGUGCAUCUUCAUACCAGCUUCCACUGAUUCUCUGCCACUUGGGCUUCUUUUACAGCCCUAGGACUCCCAGUGUCUUUCUACAUGUACUUGCUCAACAGCUAGGCUAGGGUUUUUUUCAUAUGUCCAUAAAGGAUGUUGAAGCCUUUUUCCCAAAGGGUUUAGAUGCUUGGGUCCAUCUGAAAGCCAAGGUUUUUAUUCCUUCUUUUGUGUACCUGUUUUCUGGUUUCAGCAGCGUGCAGCAAUAUCUCAGGUGUUUGCAGUAAUCAUUGACUUUUAUUAAGGAGACUUUGUUCAUAGUAAUAUUUUUUCUUUUCUGUUUUUAUUUGCAAACCACUCAUUAGUUUCCAGUGCCCAGUUAUCAUUAACUCAUCCUACGGUUUCUCCGCUGUUGUCUUUUCCUUCCCUUUAUCUUUCUCUAGCACAACUUAACUGGCUCAUUUAGUGCUCUCUUCUAUGCUUCAUUUGUAUUACUAGUUUUAUUUUUGUCUUCCAUUGUUUGAGCAGACACAAAUAGUCAGUUCAUAUGACUUGAUGGAUGUGUUGACAUUACUGAGCCUCAACAGAGAUGACUCUCUUCCAGACUGAGGGACAGGAUCAACUCUUCAGGAACAAAGCACACAGCUGGAGAUCUUGGAACCCUCCACUGAGCAGGAAAGACCGUGGCUAUCUGCCCAGAUGAAGAGAGAGCGACAGAAAACAGUGGCAUCUUGCAUCACACCAUUUUCAAUGGUCAAAACUGGCAUGUCACAGGAUGUGAAAAGCAAUGAAUGUCAAAGUCAAAGGAACUUUGUACCAAGGCUGUACUUUAUCUCUGGUUCCUCUCUGGAUACCAACAGCAAAUGUGUGUCUUUGGGUGAUAUUUGUGGAAAGUAAAUAUAUUUUGUCUAUGCCGUGGCUUACCUUUGGAGGUACUGCUUCUUACACCAUUUUCUAAUGUUGAUGACACGAUGUAUUGCAAUAGUAAUAAUGAAAAACAACAACUACAAUAACAAAAAUAGAACAAAAAACCCUCAACCCCAAACCAACAACAAACACACCAAAACCCCCCCAACUUCAUAAUCCAGUAUAGAAAAUUAAGUUCAUCAGACAAAGAUUUCCCACACUGCAGCUUAUUUUCUCAGAUGAUGUGUGUUCCUUUUGAGAAGCAGAUGCUCUAUUUCAUUUAAUAUAACAGAUGAUUAUGGAAAUUACAACACCUAUUUGUAAUCAAGAUAAGGGUUUGUAUUAUUUUGCUUUAUGAUCCUAAAUCUCUCACUAGCUGAGUGGGUAAAAACGUGCAUAAGGCUGAAUGACUCAUCCUUGUGCUUCACAGGUAGAUGUGUCUGCCAUCAAAACCUACUGAGAGAGCAGAGGUGAAGAGGGCAUGUCUUAGACGUCCCUCCUCGAUACACCUUCCCACAGAUGAAUCUCCAGAGAUACAGAGAGUCCUUUCUCAAACUUUCUUACAAGCUGGAAAACUUCAAAAUAUCUUUGCAAAAGAAAUAACAUGGUUGUACGGUGUUCUUUUCCCCAGCAGCUUGUGUAGUUUCUACAACAACUCUGUCUCCAAAAAUCCCAGUUGAAAAGGCUGGCUCCUAUACCAUUUAUUAAGCCCCAAACUCAUCUAGUUGCCCACCAACCAGCAAGUCUGACCAAUGCAGAAUAGAGGAAAGGAUGGGGAAAAAAAUAUCAAAAAGUGUCACAGUUUAAAGACACCAAAUCUGUAAGGAAGGAAAGUGAGGAAAAUGACAAGUUCAGGUUUUCUUCCUGAAAACAUUUGCCACCAGCUGGCUCUGUUUAAAAUGCCUUGUUUGAUGCCAAAUGCCACCUGAUUUUACAAAAAAAGAAGCUGAUUGAAAAGUUGCUUCCUAGCUUGUGUGAGACAGAACUCAAGUAAUCUAAAACUCUAGAGAUCAGUGCUGUGAAUGCUUGGUGAAUGACAAGACUUCCUGCAUUUUGGUUAAGAAAAUUCAUUUUUCUGGAUAUGUAUGUGUGCUCAAACUAAAAAAAAAUAUUCACUUCAAAUGAAAAUAAAAAUCAGAAACUGGCUUUUAUGAGAUUUUUCAUCUCUUAUCCCAAUCAGAAUCAAUCACAGCAUCACAGAAAUAUGGCGUGUGCUGAUGUGGCAUGAUGAAGAUAGACAGAUCCAUGUGUCUGACAAUUCUAUACAAAUAUCAUUAUUACCUGAAUGAGAUGAGCCACAGUGGGCGAAUUGCCUAGCUGGGACAUCGUCCUUCAAAAGGCAAUGUACAGCUGAUAAAAGAGAUAGGAACAGCUCCUCAAUCCUUUCAAAUAGGCACUUGAAUUUAAAUUAAAGCUGCCACUUCGCCCACUGCUGAUCAUAAUUUUGUCCAGUGUACCUGGAGUCAUUGGUCAACCCCAGAGUGCCAGACCAUACGACUGUCACAGUGCCACCCUUAUCUCCAGAGUCCAGAGAACACAAAAACUUGGGGUCUAAUACCUUGCUGGGGGAAUUUGCACAUGUGAGUUCACCUCUUUGUUACAGCUUUCUCACCAAACACAGAUGAAAAUAAUGGUAAAGCAGGUGAGCAUGAAUGGAUGAAAAAGAGAACAAGGGAGCUGGAUUGUCAUGUGAAAGGGGGGAGUUUAGAUUUUUGCUUGUUGGUGCCCCCAGAAAAGUCGAGACCCAUGUGUCCGACCAGUCUGGCAGCAUCGCACAAUGAGAGCCUUCACCAACAGAUUCACAAAAUUGGAGGGUGAUUUGAUUGCCUUUGUCAGGGGGUGCUUAGUCAACAGCAUGAAGACCCCUCAGCGGGCCCUGCCAAAGUGUUAUCUGCUGCUGGACUCACUCUAACAGUUCAUGCAACAACACCUUUUAUUAAUACAAAUUGUGGCAGGUUUGUGGUCGUCGGUGAUAGGGUGCAAAAAUAUGUUUUAAAGCAAUCUACUGGUAUAUAUAUUAAGCAAGCACAAGCUCUAAUCCUAAAAUCAGUAUUUAUAAUUCUUGCUAAAUGCAUCCCUGUGGGGAGAGAAUAUAGGCAGUUUCAAAGUACCACAAGUUCCCCCUUUCUGCCAGGAUUUCAAUGGAGGGACGCCACAUAGUUUUCACUUCAUUCCACUCUCCAUUCAAUCCCUCUAAGCAGAUGAUUAUCAUCGUAUGGGGAGCACGUCAACUGCAUUCUGUCCAGGCAGUAACAGCUGCAUUUAUCACAGAAUUCUUAACCUCCUCUAAAUUUUAACCAUAUCCAUCAUCCCACACAGUGUAAGAGAAAAGGUUUAUUUGGUCACUUGAUUUACCACCCUUGGAGACACAAAGUCAGAACGCACAUAAGCCAUAAUAAAACCAGGUAACAUGAUUUGAAAGGUGAACAUGGCUCUGACAGUUGUUAGUGUUGGCUUUCCAUCAAACAAGAAGACACAUUGCUUGUUAAACAAGUCUAACAGCACUAGUGUUUUCCAACAGCAUUACUUUCUGGAGCCAAGUGUUGCAAUCUAUAAAGUGUCUUGCUACCCUUAUUUAGGAGAAGAGCCUUAUGAAUGUGAUAAUCUUUUAAGGUCCAAUUUUAUCGUAUAACAUGCUGCAACUUAUGUUUCCUAUAUAUGGUUCAUAAUGAGAUUAGUGGAGUAUAAAUGUUCAUGCAAUUUAAAUAAAUAGUCUGGCAUUAGAAAUAUAGUGUUCUGUAUUUGCCUGCGGGCACUGAUGUU